UGGCUCAGAACGAACGCUGGCGGCGUGGAUAAGACAUGCAAGUCGAACGAGAGAAUUGCUAGCUUGCUAAUAAUUCUCUAGUGGCGCACGGGUGAGUAACACGUGAGUAACCUGCCCCCGAGAGCGGGAUAGCCCUGGGAAACUGGGAUUAAUACCGCAUAGUAUCGAAAGAUUAAAGCAGCAAUGCGCUUGGGGAUGGGCUCGCGGCCUAUUAGUUAGUUGGUGAGGUAACGGCUCACCAAGGCGAUGACGGGUAGCCGGUCUGAGAGGAUGUCCGGCCACACUGGAACUGAGACACGGUCCAGACACCUACGGGUGGCAGCAGUCGAGAAUCAUUCACAAUGGGGGAAACCCUGAUGGUGCGACGCCGCGUGGGGGAAUGAAGGUCUUCGGAUUGUAAACCCCUGUCAUGUGGGAGCAAAUUAAAAAGAUAGUACCACAAGAGGAAGAGACGGCUAACUCUGUGCCAGCAGCCGCGGUAAUACAGAGGUCUCAAGCGUUAUUCGGAAUCACUGGGCGUAAAGCGUGCGUAGGCUGUUUCGUAAGUCGUGUGUGAAAGGCGCGGGCUCAACCCGCGGACGGCACAUGAUACUGCGAGACUAGAGUAAUGGAGGGGGAACCGGAAUUCUCGGUGUAGCAGUGAAAUGCGUAGAUAUCGAGAGGAACACUCGUGGCGAAGGCGGGUUCCUGGACAUUAACUGACGCUGAGGCACGAAGGCCAGGGGAGCGAAAGGGAUUAGAUACCCCUGUAGUCUUGGCAGUAAACGGUGCACGCUUGGUGUGCGGGGAAUCGACCCCCUGCGUGCCGGAGCUAACGCGUUAAGCGUGCCGCCUGGGGAGUACGGUCGCAAGAUUAAAACUCAAAGAAAUAGACGGGGACCCGCACAAGCGGUGGAGUAUGUGGCUUAAUUCGAUGCAACGCGAAGAACCUUACCUGGGCUUGACAUGUAAUGAACAACAUGUGAAAGCAUGCGACUCUUCGGAGGCGUUACACAGGUGCUGCAUGGCCGUCGUCAGCUCGUGUCGUGAGAUGUUUGGUUAAGUCCAGCAACGAGCGCAACCCCUGUUGCCAGUUACCAGCACGUGAAGGUGGGGACUCUGGCGAGACUGCCCAGAUCAACUGGGAGGAAGGUGGGGAGGACGUCAGGUCAGUAUGGCCCUUAUGCCCAGGGCUGCACACGUACUACAAUGCCCAGUACAGAGGGGGCGGAAGCCGCGAGGCGGAGGAAAUCCUGAAAACUGGGCCCAGUUCGGACUGUAGGCUGCAACCCGCCUACACGAAGCCGGAAUCGCUAGUAAUGGCGCAUCAGCUACGGCGCCGUGAAUAAGUUCCCGGGUCUUGUACA
RNAcentral lists this ribosomal RNA (1346 nucleotides) under uncultured bacterium. RNAcentral's name for it is "bacterial SSU rRNA". It matches the Rfam family "Bacterial small subunit ribosomal RNA", at positions 20 to 1387 of the family's 1533-position model. The record is from RNAcentral.